RNAcentral lists this ribosomal RNA (428 nucleotides) under Lobopterella dimidiatipes. RNAcentral's name for it is "partial 16S ribosomal RNA". It matches the Rfam family "Bacterial large subunit ribosomal RNA", at positions 1831 to 2523 of the family's 2925-position model. The record is from RNAcentral. Lineage: Eukaryota; Metazoa; Arthropoda; Insecta; Blattodea; Blattellidae.
CUUUUCUUGAUUUUUUAGGAAAUAUAACCUGCCCACUGAUAAUUUAAAGGGCCGCGGUAAUAUGACCGUGCAAAGGUAGCAUAAUCAUUAGUUUCUUAAUUAGGAACUGGAAUGAAUGGUUGGACGAGAUAUAGGCUGUCUUUAUUUUAUUUAUUGAAUUUAAUUUUUAGGUAAAAAAGCCUAAAUGUGUUUAUGGGACGAGAAGACCCUAUAGAAUUUUAUAAUUUAAUUAUUUUGUUGUGUAUGAUAUUUAAAUUUUAGUUAAAUUAUUUUGUUGGGGUGAUAGUAAGAUAAAAUAAACUCUUUUUAGUGAAGUAUAUUGAUAUAUAUAUAUAUUUGAUCCAUUAAUGAUGAUUAGAAGAUUAAAUUACCUUAGGGAUAACAGCGUAAUCUUUUUUGAGAGUUCAUAUCGACAGGAAGGGUUGCGA